GGGCCCGCACAAGCGGUGGAUUAUGUGGUUUAAUUCGAAGCAACGCGCAGAACCUUACCUAGGCUUGAAAUCCUGCGAACCCGACGUAAUUGUUGGGGUGCCCGCAAGGGAAUGCAGUGACAGGUGCUGCAUGGCUGUCGUCAGCUCGUGUUGUGAAAUGUUGGGUUAAGUCUCGCAACGAGCGCAACCCCUAUCUUUAGUUGCCAGCAUUAAGUUGGGCACUCUAGAGAGACUGCCCGGGUUAACCGGGAGGAAGGUGGGGAUGACGUCAAAUCAUCACGGCCCUUACGUCCUGGGCUACACACGUGCUACAAUGGUCGGUACAGAGAGCAGCCACUACGCGAGUAGGAGCGAA
This 355-nucleotide ribosomal RNA is filed under the name uncultured bacterium. RNAcentral describes it as "bacterial SSU rRNA". It matches the Rfam family "Bacterial small subunit ribosomal RNA", at positions 917 to 1271 of the family's 1533-position model. The record is from RNAcentral.